Molecule: ribosomal RNA, 1297 nt
Filed under: uncultured Ornithinibacillus sp.
Lineage: Bacteria; Bacillati; Bacillota; Bacilli; Caryophanales; Bacillaceae
Description: bacterial SSU rRNA
Rfam family: Bacterial small subunit ribosomal RNA
Source: RNAcentral
CUAUCUGCNAGUCGAGCGAGUGAACUACUGAACCCUUCGGGGUGNUGUUAGUGGAUCUAGCGGCGGACGGGUGAGUAACACGUGGGCAACCUGCCUGUAAGACUGGGAUAACUCGCGGAAACGCGAGCUAAUACCGGAUAACACUUUGAACCACAUGGUUCGAAGAUGAAAGGCGGCGCAAGCCGUCACUUACAGAUGGGCCCGCGGCGCAUUAGCUAGUUGGUGAGGUAACGGCUCACCAAGGCGACGAUGCGUAGCCGACCUGAGAGGGUGAUCGGCCACACUGGGACUGAGACACGGCCCAGACUCCUACGGGAGGCAGCAGUAGGGAAUCUUCCGCAAUGGACGAAAGUCUGACGGAGCAACGCCGCGUGAGUGAUGAAGGUUUUCGGAUUGUAAAACUCUGUUGUUAGGGAAGAACAAGUCGGGUAGUAACUGACCCGACCUUGACGGUACCUAACCAGAAAACCCCGGCUAACUACGUGCCAGCAGCCGCGGUAAUACGUAGGGGGCAAGCGUUGUCCGGAAUUUUGGGCGUAAGCGCGCGCAGGCGGUCCUUUAGUCUGAUGUGAAAGCCCACGGCUUAACCGUGGAGGGUCAUUGGAAACUGGAGGACUUGAGUACAGAAGAGGAGAGUGGAAUUCCACGUGUAGCGGUGAAAUGCGUAGAGAUGUGGAGGAACACCAGUGGCGAAGGCGACUCUCUGGUCUGUAACUGACGCUGAGGCGCGAAAGCGUGGGGAGCGAACAGGAUUAGAUACCCUGGUAGUCCACGCCGUAAACGAUGAGUGCUAGGUGUUAGGGGGUUUCCGCCCCUUAGUGCUGAAGUUAACGCAUUAAGCACUCCGCCUGGGGAGUACGGCCGCAAGGCUGAAACUCAAAAGAAUUGACGGGGGCCCGCACAAGCGGUGGAGCAUGUGGUUUAAUUCGAAGCAACGCGAAGAACCUUACCAGGUCUUGACAUCCUCUGACAACCCUAGAGAUAGGGCUUUCCCUUCGGGGACAGAGUGACAGGUGGUGCAUGGUUGUCGUCAGCUCGUGUCGUGAGAUGUUGGGUUAAGUCCCGCAACGAGCGCACCCUUGUCCUUAGUUGCCAGCAUUUAGUUGGGCACUCUAAGGAAACUGCCGGUGACAAACCGAAGAAAGUGGGGGAUGACGUCAAAUCAUCAUGCCCCUUAUGACNUGGGCUACCCCGUGCUACAAUGGAUGGUACAAAGGGCAGCGAAACCCCAGGGUGAACAACUCCCUAAACCAUUCUCAGUUCGAUGGAGGCUGCACUCGCCUACUGAAGCCGAAUC